RNAcentral lists this ribosomal RNA (1779 nucleotides) under Vibrio cholerae. RNAcentral's name for it is "partial 23S ribosomal RNA". It matches the Rfam family "Bacterial large subunit ribosomal RNA", at positions 443 to 2213 of the family's 2925-position model. Lineage: Bacteria; Pseudomonadati; Pseudomonadota; Gammaproteobacteria; Vibrionales; Vibrionaceae. The record is from RNAcentral.
UAUGGGGGGACCAUCCUCCAAGGCUAAAUACUCCUGACUGACCGAUAGUGAACCAGUACCGUGAGGGAAAGGCGAAAAGAACCCCUGUGAGGGGAGUGAAAUAGAACCUGAAACCGUGUACGUACAAGCAGUAGGAGCACCUUCGUGGUGUGACUGCGUACCUUUUGUAUAAUGGGUCAGCGACUUAUAUUCAGUGGCAAGGUUAACCGUAUAGGGGAGCCGUAGCGAAAGCGAGUCUUAACUGGGCGCUCAGUCUCUGGAUAUAGACCCGAAACCGGGUGAUCUAGCCAUGGGCAGGUUGAAGGUUGAGUAACAUCAACUGGAGGACCGAACCGACUAAUGUUGAAAAAUUAGCGGAUGACUUGUGGCUAGGGGUGAAAGGCCAAUCAAACUCGGAGAUAGCUGGUUCUCCCCGAAAGCUAUUUAGGUAGCGCCUCGGACGAAUACUACUGGGGGUAGAGCACUGUUAAGGCUAGGGGGUCAUCCCGACUUACCAACCCUUUGCAAACUCCGAAUACCAGUAAGUACUAUCCGGGAGACACACGGCGGGUGCUAACGUCCGUCGUGGAGAGGGAAACAACCCAGACCGCCAGCUAAGGUCCCAAAGUAUUGCUAAGUGGGAAACGAUGUGGGAAGGCUCAGACAGCUAGGAUGUUGGCUUAGAAGCAGCCAUCAUUUAAAGAAAGCGUAAUAGCUCACUAGUCGAGUCGGCCUGCGCGGAAGAUGUAACGGGGCUAAGCAAUACACCGAAGCUGCGGCAAUGUCUUUUAGACAUUGGGUAGGGGAGCGUUCUGUAAGCCGUUGAAGGUGAAUCGUAAGGUUUGCUGGAGGUAUCAGAAGUGCGAAUGCUGACAUGAGUAACGACAAAGGGGGUGAAAAACCUCCUCGCCGGAAGACCAAGGGUUCCUGUCCAACGUUAAUCGGGGCAGGGUGAGUCGACCCCUAAGGUGAGGCCGAAAGGCGUAAUCGAUGGGAAACGGGUUAAUAUUCCCGUACUUCUGACUAUUGCGAUGGGGGGACGGAGAAGGCUAGGUGGGCCAGGCGACGGUUGUCCUGGUUCAAGUGCGUAGGCUUGAGAGUUAGGUAAAUCCGGCUCUCUCUAAGGCUGAGACACGACGUCGAGCUACUACGGUAGUGAAGUCAUUGAUGCCAUGCUUCCAGGAAAAGCCUCUAAGCUUCAGAUAGUCAGGAAUCGUACCCCAAACCGACACAGGUGGUCGGGUAGAGAAUACCAAGGCGCUUGAGAGAACUCGGGUGAAGGAACUAGGCAAAAUGGUACCGUAACUUCGGGAGAAGGUACGCUCUUGAUGGUGAAGUCCCUCGCGGAUGGAGCUGACGAGAGUCGCAGAUACCAGGUGGCUGCAACUGUUUAUUAAAAACACAGCACUGUGCAAAAUCGCAAGAUGACGUAUACGGUGUGACGCCUGCCCGGUGCCGGAAGGUUAAUUGAUGGGGUUAGCGCAAGCGAAGCUCUUGAUCGAAGCCCCGGUAAACGGCGGCCGUAACUAUAACGGUCCUAAGGUAGCGAAAUUCCUUGUCGGGUAAGUUCCGACCUGCACGAAUGGCGUAAUGAUGGCCACGCUGUCUCCACCCGAGACUCAGUGAAAUUGAAAUCGCUGUGAAGAUGCAGUGUACCCGCGGCUAGACGGAAAGACCCCGUGAACCUUUACUACAGCUUGGCACUGAACAUUGAACCUACAUGUGUAGGAUAGGUGGGAGGCUAUGAAGACGUGACGCCAGUUGCGUUGGAGCCGUCCUUGAAAUACCACCCUUGUAUGU